RNAcentral lists this ribosomal RNA (480 nucleotides) under Schwartzia sp. canine oral taxon 042. RNAcentral describes it as "bacterial SSU rRNA". It matches the Rfam family "Bacterial small subunit ribosomal RNA", at positions 9 to 474 of the family's 1533-position model. The record is from RNAcentral. Lineage: Bacteria; Bacillati; Bacillota; Negativicutes; Selenomonadales; Selenomonadaceae.
GAGUUUGAUUCUGGCUCAGGACGAACGCUGGCGGCGUGCUUAACACAUGCAAGUCGAACGGAGCUGUUUAUUUCGGUAGAUAGCUUAGUGGCAAACGGGUGAGUAACGCGUAGGCAACCUGCCCUUAGGAUGGGGACAACGGCCCGAAAGGACCGCUAAUACCGAAUGCACUCUAACUUCCGCAUGGAAGAAAGAGGAAAGAUGGUGCAAGCCAUCGCCGAAGGAAGGGCCUGCGUCUGAUUAGCCAGUUGGUGAGGUAACGGCUCACCAAAGCGACGAUCAGUAGCCGGUCUGAGAGGAUGAACGGCCACAAUGGGACUGAGACACGGCCCAUACUCCUACGGGAGGCAGCAGUGGGGAAUCUUCCGCAAUGGGCGAAAGCCUGACGGAGCAACGCCGCGUGAGUGAAGAAGGUCUUCGGAUCGUAAAGCUCUGUUGUUGGGGACGAAAGGAAAAGGGAGGAAAUGCCCUUUUAAGACG